CCCUUAGAUGUUCUGGGCCGCACGCGCGCUACACUGAGUGGAUCAGCGGGUCAGGUUGCGCGAAAGUGUUUCCUAAUCUUGAAAUCCGCUCGUGAUGGGGAUUGACGGUUGCAAUUUUCCGUCAUGAACGAGGAAUACCUUGUAAGCGCGGGUCAUCAUCCCGCGCUGAAUACGUCCCUGCCCUUUGUACACACCGCCCGUCGCUCCUACCGAUUGAGUGGUCCGGUGAGGCUUUGGGAUCUGAGCGGAAAGAGCGUUUCGCUGUUUCUGCUCGGAAAACUCAGUCGAACCUUAUCAUUUAGAGGAAGGAGAAGUCGUAACA
This 322-nucleotide ribosomal RNA is filed under the name uncultured eukaryote. RNAcentral describes it as "partial 18S ribosomal RNA". It matches the Rfam family "Eukaryotic small subunit ribosomal RNA", at positions 1470 to 1796 of the family's 1831-position model. The record is from RNAcentral.